UCACUUUUUAAAAUAUAUUUUUAAAUUUAAAAAACUUUAUUUUUUAAUUUAUCUAUUCAUCUAACUUUUUGUUAUAUUAUUAAAAUGAGUUUUUAUCAAGAGAAACUAGAUAAAGUUACGAGGCAAAUUUUAUCAGACAAAUACAUUCUUCUGUCUUGAUAAAGAAUUUUAAGCGAAUUGUAAGUGUUUUGAUGAAAUGUUAACGUGGUUUAUGGAACGGCCCUGUAAAACUUUCCUUCAUAGCGUGAAUAUUUAUGUCCGGAGAGCUAGAAGUACCGCUAUUGUUGCCAGCCGGUAUAAGUCCAAGCGGAAUGGAAGCGGAAAUAUGCUUUUGUUUGAACAAGGAUAUUGACUUUUUUGCAAGGCGGUAGGAAGAAAAGUCCGACUCAGCGCGUUCGCAUAAAAUCGCUGAUAUUUAUACCCGCGUUUGAUCAACUCACGUGACGUAAAUUUACAUGACUUUCCGCGUUUAUCCGUGACCGUUUCUUCAUACGCAAUGGACACACGAGGAAUCAUAAUAAUUCUGUUGCGUAAUGGUUCGAGAACUUUAUACUUUUAUGAGCUUCUUUUCUUUCUUUCCUUAAUUUGCAGCAUUACGUUUAAUUAUUUUAAUUAUUGUUAAUUAUUUUAUUCUCUGAAUUUCGCAAUUUCACAAAAAAGACGUAAUUCGAAUCGAGAAUGCCUACCAUGGCGAACAAUAAACGGUAUACUUCUACCUUCCAUUUACUCGUCUGGCUAAUGUAAGACGAGUAUCCAACACUAUCGUUCGCGUUCGUCGAGAGGACAGAAGCGUCGAUUUUAUCUCCGAGUGCAAGCGCGGUCUAAUGUAGCUAUAAAGCAGACAGGACGUUGACUACCAAGCUAUGUGGCAAUUUCCUCGUUGCAAGUAAUGAUUUCAGAAACGGGAUAGGUCCUCGCGAUCGCGUUAAUUUGCAGCUGAAUAGGCAUUUACGGCGCAACGGCGUCGGCGAAAGGCUCUAUCCUCGAUCGAGAUUAACCGACGUCCAAAGGUUAACGGGACGGCUAAUCCACCGGAAAUCUGUAAGAUUGUGAGCCAAGGGAGGGUGGACUUUUAAUAAAUUAUAACUCCGUGCUGUGGAUUUAGCAACGCACGGAGGCUUCAAUACUCGAGUGAUAUUCCAGUAAAUGACGCACUUCCCCUUUCGUAACUGCGGGCAUGAUUGCAGAAGAUCAAGAGAGGCCGAGGGAGGAGGACAGUAGAGAAAAGAUUAGACAUCACGAUGAGAGAGGUACGUUAUAAAAUCACCGCAUUGCGUAACGAAACACGUACGUGCGCUUGAACAAAGCGAACAAACCGCUCAACUUGCCCGGCUGUUUCGCUUCUGCUGCGCGCUGUAAAGAGCGACGAAAGUUCGCGACGGCGACAACGGCGACGAUAAUAACGUUUGUUCAACAAGUGGUUGCAAACGAUAAUGCAAACGAUCGAUGCUGCUGGCAGUAGCUAUUUUCCGAUCGAGAUGAGAACGAGCGAAACGGCCGCGGAAAAAGAAUGCAAAUCUUUUGCGGCGACUCAACAAGUGGCUACUCAAUUUUCAAAGUCAUUCUCACGAUCGAGCAGGUGAUAAUUGCACUCCUGACAUCCGGACCUUACUGCGACUGGCAAGAAACUGACAAGAAACUGAAUAUCCGCUUGCCGAGGAGCCUCUUUGUUUUUUUGCGCGAUGCUGUAGCGUUAUCACGGUUCAAGUUGUAAAACUCGGAAACCGAUUCCAAGUUUCUGCGGUAUCGAUUCUAUUUUGGUCCCAUCUUUCCAAAAUAGCAAGAAACGUGGCUCCAAUCUGGGAAUAAUUUCAACAAUAUUUAACAAUAAGUUUUACAAAUUUCUUAAUUAUGGCCAGAGUGUAAAUGUGGAUUUUCGAAUAAAAUUGAAAAAUUUUACAAAAA
RNAcentral lists this long non-coding RNA (1905 nucleotides) under Ooceraea biroi (clonal raider ant). Its description in RNAcentral is "uncharacterized LOC105281301". Lineage: Eukaryota; Metazoa; Arthropoda; Insecta; Hymenoptera; Formicidae. The record is from RNAcentral.